CCUUCCGGUCCGGCGUCAGUGGGUUACCGAACAAACCCUCCCAUUGGCACAACCUUGACCGCUAG
RNAcentral lists this small RNA (65 nucleotides) under Oesophagostomum dentatum (nodular worm). RNAcentral's name for it is "Nematode sRNA ceN72-3_ceN74-2". It matches the Rfam family "Nematode sRNA ceN72-3_ceN74-2". Lineage: Eukaryota; Metazoa; Nematoda; Chromadorea; Rhabditida; Strongylidae. The record is from Rfam by way of RNAcentral.